Arachis duranensis is the source of this 1442-nucleotide RNA transcript. It is a transcript of the gene named plasma membrane ATPase 4, with no coding region annotated. NCBI's taxonomy places the organism in Eukaryota, Viridiplantae, Streptophyta, Magnoliopsida, Fabales, Fabaceae. The transcript is spliced from 7 exons. The record is from RefSeq and is a predicted model, not a curated record.
UAGAGAGAUUCAGGGUAUGAAUGAUUAAUGAAUGAAGUAGAAUUCUCUGUGUGCGCUGUUUGUUUUUUUCUGAAGUAUGCAUUGCUUAUUUGCUUUUUGCUUGUCUUAUAAUACAAAAAGGUAACAACGUAACUGACAUGAUUGCAACUAAUAAUGCAUUCAUUCAUCUUAGUUUGUCUUAAUAUAUAGAUUCGAAUGAAUUCAGCGAUUGUAUUAUGUUGGUAACUAAAGUGAAGCCAAUUACAAAAAAGGGAAGUCAUCUUCCCCAAGGAAUAAUAAAGCCAUAUAUAUAUGCAUCAUAUCAUCCUUAUCUUUAGGCCUCCUUUUGACCUCUUGUCACUUCCAAUUAUAUAAUAUAAGUUGAGCCAAGACAUAGAUUGAGUGAUGGACACAUUUGGAUCGGUGGAGCUUGAUUUCUCUUCAUAUAUCCAGCAGCAGCAGCAACAGCAGGGUUUCAAUGGGGUUUCUUUGACUCUAGGGUUACAACAGCACGGUGGAAGCGGGUGAGCCUGGCAUUCCCUCCUCCUUCGGUGAGCAGUCAUCAUAGCUCGCUCUUCUAUGCAACAACCAUUGAUGCUGCUAUGCCUACUAUUGUUGGAAUGGCACCGAAAAAUCAGGAUGCCAUUGAUGCUGCUAUUGUUGGAAUGCUUGCAGAUCCCAAAGAGGCAAGGGCUAGAAUCAGAUAUGUUCACUUUUUACCUUUCAAUCCUGUUGACAAGAGAACUUCUCUGACUUACAUUGAUGCUGAUGGAAACUGGUACUGUGCCAGCAAAGGCGCUCCGGAGCAGAUCAUGAACUUGUGUAAUCUAAGGGAUGAUGCUAAGAAGAAGGUUCAUGCCAUUAUUGAUAAGUUCGCCGAAAAAGGCCUUCGUUCCCUAGCCAUUUCAAGACAGGAAGUUCCUUCUUGGCAAGACAAAGAUGCAAGUAUCGCCACACUUCCCGUCGAAGAGUUAAUUGAGAAAGCCAAUGGAUUUGCCGGAAUCUUUCCAGAGCCUCAAAAACUGUUACAACGGGAAGAAUCUUUUAACAGUUGAAAAAUAGUGGCUCAACAGUAACAUUACUAAUUUCUUCAAAAGUUUUGAUGGGUCGUCUUUCUUCAAUGUUCAAUGGGUUGGCAAAAUCACUGACAAUUAAGAAAGGGAGGAAUUCAGAAAGAUGCAGCGGAAGAGAAGCGGCGCAGAAGGAAGCAAAAAAGAAUGAGUUCUUAUUAUGUAGCUCAGGUAAUAUUUAUUUACACGGACAUGAACAAUGAAAAUGUUGGAAGGGCCUGAAGCAAACUUUUUGAGCAUCUCUAGGAAAACUCCCAAUCUAAUAGAACUAACAAUAUUUCUUAGUUUGAUACUUUGUAUAGGAGUUGUUACUUUUGAUUCGCAAUACUAAAAAAUCAUAUAUUAUGUUUAAUACUUUGAGUUAUAUAAUAUUUUGUCCAUGGAUUAUGAUUU